CCUACGGGUGGCUGCAGUGGGGAAUAUUGGACAAUGGGCGAAAGCCUGAUCCAGCCAUGCCGCGUGUGUGAAGAAGGCCUUCGGGUUGUAAAGCACUUUCAGUGGGGAAGAAAGCCUUGGGGCUAAUACCCUCGAGGAAGGACAUCACCCACAGAAGAAGCACCGGCUAACUCCGUGCCAGCAGCCGCGGUAAUACGGAGGGUGCGAGCGUUAAUCGGAAUUACUGGGCGUAAAGCGCGCGUAGGCGGUCUGAUAAGCCGGUUGUGAAAGCCCCGGGCUCAACCUGGGAACGGCAUCCGGAACUGUCAGGCUAGAGUGCAGGAGAGGAAGGUAGAAUUCCCGGUGUAGCGGUGAAAUGCGUAGAGAUCGGGAGGAAUACCAGUGGCGAAGGCGGCCUUCUGGACUGACACUGACGCUGAGGUGCGAAAGCGUGGGUAGCAAACAGGAUUAGAGACCCCAGUAGUC
Molecule: ribosomal RNA, 465 nt
Filed under: Vreelandella stevensii
Lineage: Bacteria; Pseudomonadati; Pseudomonadota; Gammaproteobacteria; Oceanospirillales; Halomonadaceae
Description: partial 16S ribosomal RNA
Rfam family: Bacterial small subunit ribosomal RNA
Source: RNAcentral